AGGAGCGAUCUGGAGCAAAACCCAAAAAAAGACAGUCUCAGUUCGGAUUGAAGGCUGAAAUUCGCCUUCAUGAAGCCGGAAUUGCUAGUAAUGGCAGGUCAGCAUACUGCCGUGAAUACGUUCCCGGGCCUUGUACACACCGCCCGUCACACCAUGAGAGUUGGGAAUACCCGAAGCCUGUGAGCUAACUUUUAGAGGCAGCAGUCGAAGGUAGAAUCAAUGAUUGGGGUGAAGUCGUAACAAGGUAAC
RNAcentral lists this ribosomal RNA (249 nucleotides) under uncultured bacterium. RNAcentral describes it as "partial 16S ribosomal RNA". It matches the Rfam family "Bacterial small subunit ribosomal RNA", at positions 1253 to 1500 of the family's 1533-position model. The record is from RNAcentral.